Molecule: transfer RNA, 70 nt
Filed under: Eliomys quercinus (garden dormouse)
Lineage: Eukaryota; Metazoa; Chordata; Mammalia; Rodentia; Gliridae
Description: tRNA-Thr
Source: RNAcentral
GCUCUGAUAGUAUAAUACCAAUUACUCUGGUCUUGUAAACCAGCAAUGAGAUAGACAUUCUCUCAGAACA